CACGGGGGGGGCAAGCGUUGUUCGGAAUUACUGGGCGUAAAGGGUGCGUAGGCGGUCCGCUAAGUUGGAUGUGAAAACUCUGGGCUUAACCAGAGCCUGCAUUCAAAACUGACGGGCUAGAGUUCUGGAGGGGGUAGCGGAAUUCCUGGUGUAGCGGUGAAAUGCGUAGAUAUCAGGAGGAACACCGGUGGCGAAGGCGGCUACCUGGACAGAAACUGACGCUGAGGCACGAAAGCUAGGGGAGCAAACAGG
Molecule: ribosomal RNA, 252 nt
Filed under: uncultured bacterium
Lineage: Bacteria
Description: partial 16S ribosomal RNA
Rfam family: Bacterial small subunit ribosomal RNA
Source: RNAcentral